GGGGCUAUAGCUCAGUCGGUUAGAGCGCUUCCCUGAUAAGGAAGAGGUCCCAGGUUCAAGUCCUGGUAGCCCCACCA
Molecule: transfer RNA, 77 nt
Filed under: Microtetraspora glauca
Lineage: Bacteria; Bacillati; Actinomycetota; Actinomycetes; Streptosporangiales; Streptosporangiaceae
Also listed under: 35 other names
Description: tRNA-Ile
Rfam family: tRNA
About the family: Transfer RNA (tRNA) molecules are approximately 80 nucleotides in length. Their secondary structure includes four short double-helical elements and three loops (D, anti-codon, and T loops). Further hydrogen bonds mediate the characteristic L-shaped molecular structure. tRNAs have two regions of fundamental functional importance: the anti-codon, which is responsible for specific mRNA codon recognition, and the 3' end, to which the tRNAs corresponding amino acid is attached (by aminoacyl-tRNA synthetases). tRNAs cope with the degeneracy of the genetic code in two manners: having more than one tRNA (with a specific anti-codon) for a particular amino acid; and 'wobble' base-pairing, i.e. permitting non-standard base-pairing at the 3rd anti-codon position.
Source: RNAcentral